This 1217-nucleotide long non-coding RNA is filed under the name Cyanistes caeruleus (blue tit). Its description in RNAcentral is "lncRNA (ENSCCEG00000008468.1)". The record is from RNAcentral. Lineage: Eukaryota; Metazoa; Chordata; Aves; Passeriformes; Paridae.
AAGUCUCAGAGGCUUGUGGAGGAGGAUGGAAGGAGCACAGAGUGGAUCUCGAGGACAUGAAAUAGCUGUGCUGCAGCCCCAAAAGCCUUUGUGUAACUGCAGAACCCAUCAAGGCAGUAGGAACCUGCAGCUGAGAAAAGAGCCUGAGCAGGAGAGGUUUACCUGGUCAGGUAUAAGAAGUUUUCAAAAAUUAGCCAGAAGUGCUGUGAGAUCCUGAGCCUGCAAAGCAUGGCAAUUGUACACAGUCUGGAGGAAAAUAAGAUCACUGCCUCAUUUUCUCAGCAGAUGGAAAUUGCUGUGCAAAAUUGAGCCGUUCCUUUGAACAGGUAAGAAACCCUUCUUGCCUGGUGUGGCUUGGUGCCAGCACCCAGUGUGCCUUGGAGUAACUCAUCCUGGAGUUAUCUCUUAGUUCUCAUGGAGGAUGGAGGUAGUGAUUAAUAAUACUAAUAUUACUACUACUAAUAAUAAUAUCAGUAGACAGGAGUAAGACUUUCCCCUGAUUUUUAGGGGGUAGGUAAAUCUCAAGGAUUCAGCGGCAGCACAGCCCAAAAUUAGCGUUUCAGUGAUUAAGAAAUGUUCUGGCUGCAGACUUUGAGAUCUUGACAGCAUUGUAGCAAAAGUGAUGUGUAAAUUGGAGAGAUACUGGGAGCUGUUGAGCUUGAAUUGAUUUGGUUAUUCAGGCACUGGAAAUCUGAAGUAGUUCAGAGCAGGUUUGUGGUGGAGGGAACAGCUAAGCACAAGGGCUGAGUAAGCUGGGCUCUUAGUGGAGUGUUUGUACUUGCACAGAGUAAGUAUGCUCUGAAAAGCUUCCUGAAAAUAAGCAAGUUAUUUUCAUUAUCUGAUCAGCAAGUUGUAUGAGCGAGACUUUGAUUUUUAAAUCAUAAAUUUGGAGCGUGAGUUGUUUGCACUGUGUCGAUUCUUAGCCAGGAAUGGGUUAAAAUAUGGGAAGAAGCUCCCAAACAAACUUACCCUGUUUUGCAGUGUUUUGUCCCAUGACACUUCCCACCCUGAGUCUCAUUAUUUGGUAGGCACCAGGAUGUCACAUGCUUUGGAGACAGCCUGUGCCAACACAGGAAUGAUGAAAGUCAGUGAAGGUGGAGUGCACAGGGCAGCCAAAGCAUCACAAAGGUUCACUACCAUCCCCUUUUAUGCCCACUGAAAUGUUGUUACCUGAUAUUAUGGUUAUUUUUAUGUCUUUUGGGGUUAUUUAUCUGUCU